This 461-nucleotide ribosomal RNA is filed under the name uncultured bacterium. Its description in RNAcentral is "bacterial SSU rRNA". It matches the Rfam family "Bacterial small subunit ribosomal RNA", at positions 28 to 507 of the family's 1533-position model. The record is from RNAcentral.
GGUGAACGCUGGCGGCGUGCCUAACACAUGCAAGUCGAUCGGAGCAGCAAUGCUUAGAGGCGAACGGGUGAGGAAAACGUAGUAACCAACCCUUUAGACUGGGAUAGCCACUGGAAACGGUGGGUAAUACCGGAUAAGCUCGAGAGAGGAAAGGCAGAGAAGCGCUAAAGGACGGAACUGCGCCCCAUCAGAUAGUUGGUGAGGUAAAGGCUUACCAAGUCAAAGACGGGAAACCGACGUGAGAGCGUGUACGGUCACAAGGGCACUGAGAGACGGGCCCUACUCCUACGGGAGGCAGCAGUGGGGAAUAUUGGACAAUGGGCGCAAGCCUGAUCCAGCAAUGCCGCGUGUGUGAAGAAGGCCUGCGGGUUGUAAAGCACUUUUGUUCGGGAAGAAAUCAUGCUGGUUAAUACCUGGUAUGGAUGACGGUACCGAAAGAAUAAGCACCGGCUAACUUCGUG